AGAAGCAAAAUUUGCACGCCCGACGUCAUUUGAUGACGUGUUUGAGACUUGGAUUGCAGAUAGUAAGUUUAAACUAUGGCGUUGUUGCCUCUGUAACAAAUUACCUAAAAUAGUGCAGAAGAAAAACCCUAGCAAUUGGACCAGUGAAGGAGCUCCGAUCAAGAAUACUAUUGUGCACUCAUCUUUCAACUUAAGGCUUGAGAGGCAAACAAUGGUAAACGCGCAGCAAACAAUGGUAAAUGCGCAGUGAACUGUGGGGAUAUAUAUAGGGAGAGACGAGAGAGAAAUUUAUUUAAUUUUUUUUUUCCAAAUUUUACAGCAAAAUAGGGAUUAUGCAAAGUUUAUUUAUCUUUCAGUUUUGAGAAAAAUAAAAGUCUCCCUUACUUUCACCGUUUUGAUGCUUUAUCUAUAUUUUUGUUCUUUUUCAUAUUUGAGUUCUGGAAAUUAUUAUAA
This is a non-coding RNA of Jatropha curcas, 453 nucleotides long. Lineage: Eukaryota; Viridiplantae; Streptophyta; Magnoliopsida; Malpighiales; Euphorbiaceae. The record is from RefSeq and is a predicted model, not a curated record.